Molecule: long non-coding RNA, 1627 nt
Filed under: Medicago truncatula (barrel medic)
Lineage: Eukaryota; Viridiplantae; Streptophyta; Magnoliopsida; Fabales; Fabaceae
Description: long non-coding RNA (MTRU_LNC004691)
Source: RNAcentral
AGGCUGACAUGUAACAUAACAACCCUUACAAAUAGAAAGUGUUAUCUAUUAAUUGAUGACAUAAGGUACCACCUAAAAGGAGAAAAUGUUGUCUAAUUGUCACAUUUAACAACGAUUUUAAAAAAAGAAGCUAUCUAAAGGUGACAUUAAACACCGCUUUCAACAAAAGGUACUAUCUAAAGAUGACAUGGAAAAAUACUUACUUGGUUAUGAAGUGAAGUCGAAUUUAUAACACCACUAAAAUAUACAGCGUUUAUAAUUUGCGGUUUUAGGGGAAAAAAGUGUUGUUUAAAGCCUAUUUAGGAAUAAAUCAUCAAAUUGAUCGAUGUCUUUGUAAGUAAUUCUCAAAUUAGCUCUGACUUAUUAAUAUUUCAAGAUAGUCCAUGUCUUUGACAAAAAUUUCUAAAUUAACUCCAUUGUCAUGUGAAGAAAACACAGAAACAUGGGUCUAAUUGAGAAACUUUUGACAAAGACAGAGACUAUUGUUAGAAGUUUCUCAAUUAUACCCAUGUUUCUAUGUUUUUUCACAUGACGAGGGACUUAAUUGAAUUAUUUUAACAAAGACGAGGACUAUUUUGAGACAUUAAUAGAGUCGAUGACUAAUUUGAUAAUCACUUGCAAAGAUAAGGACCAAAUUGGUAGUUUACUCGCCUUUUAGGCAUGGUCUUUUAAGACUUAUUUUUCACCUUGUGGUUUAUCAUAUAUUUUUCACCUUUUAGGCAUCACGUUGCUUGACUCGUGAGAUUGAGUCGUUCGCAAUUGACUCAAUUUUAGUGAAACGGCCGAAGAAGAAAAGCAACACAAAAAACACAAGCAACCCAUAUUUGAUUGUGUUAUGACCUUUCAAAUCGCUCGCAGCUACGAUCUUUGAGAUGAUUUUUAUUUUAAGAAUCAUUGAAAAAGAAGCGGUUUUGUAAAAAAUAAAAAAUAAAAAAAUAAAGAAGUAUUCAAAAGUAGAUCUAACAUAUGUUGGAACAAUAGUCAAAAUUAGUUAAAAAAUAUUUCUUGUCACCGAAGAGAUUACUAGGCUGAGUCGUGGACUAGGUCGCUCUCUUUAAGAGGUUUCGUGGCACUUUCCAAAAUUGUUCAAGCAAACUAUCAACCACGACGUCCCAGGAUAAAACAGCCCAGCAACAACUAUAUCAGAGUCUUAUUGCACUAUAGGAUCUGUUCUGGAAAUACACUUCAAAAUAUGGUGCUAAGACCAUUCUAAUAUUGCAUUGAUAGCACUCUAUUAUGGUACUAAGACCACUCUUAUAUGGUACUAGGACCAUUCUAAUAUGGUGUUUCCAUCACUCUAACCUCUAAUUUCUCCAAGGGCAUAAAACAUAAAAAGAUGAACUAUAUUCUUAAGAUCAUUCUUAUUUUUCUGAGGGACACUUUAUCUCGAAAAGGACUAUGAUCUUAAGAAUAGUCUUAUUUCAGAAGGGACUAAUUUUACCGAAGGGACUAUGUUCUUAAGACCAUUCUCAAUUCCGAAGGGACAUUUUAAACCAAAGAGACUAUGAUCUUAAGAACACUCUUUAAAUCCGAAGGGACAUAAAAAGAGGGAGAAUAAAAGAAUAGUUCGUCAACACAAGCUAAAGGAGGGAGAAGAGAGAAAAAUUCUUUGACAACUCAAGAGAAC